UGGAUUUGGUUCUUCUUUUCAACAACGUAAAAGGAAGGUGCGACUCCCGCGUGCUCGUAUAAGUAUCGGGUUUUGAACGGUAAACCAAAACCAAGAAACGGGGGAAAGAUUUCUUGUUUGUAUUUCGUCUUCUCGCCGACCUCUUCCCGUUGCCUCUUACGAUCUGCCUUCACCAAGGAGGGAGAGCACGAACGCAGCAUGGCGAUGGCUGGUUUCCGGAUCUCAGACGGAUGAAGGUUUCUUUGACAAGCUUGUGGAUGACGAGUUUCGGAUGGAUGGUUCUUCUGCAACUGAGUUAUUGGAGGACCGCUGUUGUGAUAUCUCCAACUCAAGACCUGAAUAAUCAAGAAGAAAGAAGAUUUAAGGAAUUGGGUAGGAGGUGCCUGCUGAAGCGGUAAAUAGAUGCUAGGUAUCUCUUGAAAACCUGAUAAAGUGUCAUGAACUUCCUGACUAUGUUUUUCUUUACUUUUUGUGUAGACUGAAAGACUGGCAUCCAGUUGGACUGCUAACCUAAGUAUUUGCAAAUUUACAUUUUAUCUUCUAUCUUCUGUGGUACCCCAUGGGCUUGUGUCUUUUUAUGUGUAUGGAUGGCAAAUGCAUGUCUUAUGUGCCUCUUGCAUGCACAUACAGUUCAAAUGCAUGUGUAAUUCAUGUGUUAGUAUGCAUGUGUGAUGGGAACAAAUCUAUAAUGUUGUUCUUUCAUCUUUAAUGGUAUAACAAUCUUAAUGGUAUAACAAAUUACUGUGUUCCAUGCAAAAAAAAAUUAGUUCAACCUGGUUAUGUUUUCUUAUUGGAAUGAAGAAAUAAGAACGCACUACAUGCUCUCAUAAUUGAUGGCACAAGCCUCAUUGAAGUCAUGUGCUUUGUAUGCUGUUUCCUAUCCUUUAUAGUUUUUUGAUAUGGCAGCCUUUCUUUUAAAUUUGUAAUCUUAUAUAUUUUGUUUACAGGUACACAUGAAAUUGCACUGUUGAACACGAAAGGAUACUCUGUUGCAGCAUGCUUAGAGAUAGGGUUUUACUUUCGCUAUCUUUUUUAUAUUUUUUAAUAUUUUAAUGUUAGUCUCAUGUACUUAUGUGGCACAGUUUGCUAUAAUCUCUUUACAAAAAAUAGUCUUUAGUGGUAUUUUCACUUUCUUUGAAUAUUCAAACUUUUACCUUAUGUUUGUUAUUAAUGGUGGGGGAAAGCACAAUAUCAGAUGGAGGCCGUUGUUAAUAGCUAAAGGCUGGAUUGCUUUGCAGCUCAGGUACACAUUAAAUUUCACUGUUGAACACGGAAGGAUACAAUCUUGCAGCAUGCUUUACCUUUACGCCUCGAGGUGUUUAAAGGGUGAAAUGCCUUUAGGCAUGUGAAUUUCCUGAGAACAAUACUUCCCAUGAAUUUGAAAGAGAAACUGUCUCAAAUACAUGUCAACUCUUGAGAAGCCAUUUCCCAAUAUUCUAAUGGUUGCCUCUCAAGGUAUCACAGUAGGUCACUCGGAAGAGCCAAACAUGUAAUUGUCAAAGCAUGUUUGGCAUCUAAUUUUGUUCUCAUUGCUUGAUACCGUUGACUGUUCUUCAUUUGUUCACAUUAAUAUUUGAUCAACUGAAUUCUUUGUCAAAAUUAGAUAUCAUUUAUGGGAGCACGUUUUUGUUCAAUGGAAAGCCUUAGUUAGAGCUUCAAAUGUACUUGGGAUCAGAUUCAAAUUUGAUAGAUUGGUUAUCAGAUUUUGUUUAGGUUUAGACAUCUGCAUUUAAAUCACUGUUCGUUUGGAUCUGAAAUGUGUAUGUUUUUUUUUUCUUUAUCACUCCUUAUCUGAUCCAGCAUGUUACCUGUCACCUUUUGUCACUGCCUGUAAGAGAAUUGAUGAAGUUCAUUUUUUUACCUAGUCAACGCAUUUGGUUUUUCAAGCACCCUUCUCUUUAGAGAGAGAAGAGUUUCUACCUCCAAUGAGAUAUGUCAUUUGAUGUCAAGAUCAUUUCUAAAAAAAGAACUUUUCCAUCUUGCUUAAAAACAUUUUAAACGCAUUUUUCACACAAUGAUAUGCCUUCAUUUUAUUUUUAGUACCUCCUCGAGUACUAGGAGAAAAUUUCAAAUUUUUGUCGUCAAUCAAUGGAAGAGGAAAACUUGAAAAAUCUUGAGUAUGAACAAUGAGGAAAAAUCCUAUGAAGCUGAGAAAGUCAAGAAUAGGAGAUGCUAUUGACUCUGCUAAUUAAGCAUCUGCAAGGAUUUAGCAAGAAAAUACUCUAAGAGAGAAGCCACAAUGCUCUGUAAAAUCUUGACAGGUAGCAAAAUGAGAGUUGAAAGAUGGGCUCGGGGCUUGUGUAGUUGUUCUUCUAGGUCGGUAAUCAAGAGUACUGGGUAGGCAUAUAGGUGAUUUAUGUCUAUGCUGCGAAGAUUACUGAGUUAUAAACUUUUGGAUCAUUGAAAGCCCGUAAGGUGAAGCGGGUUGGAUUCGUGACAAAACUACAUAUAACCACUAAAGUGGUGGAGCUUCGUAGUAGCCUUUGGGGUGGUGAGGUAUUCCCUCAAAGGUGAAGGUCGGCCUGAAAAAUGAAAUCGAAAGGCAAAAAGCCAAAUGCAAAAAAAUGAACGAAACAAAGGAAAAAGAAGAAGAAAAAAACAAACAAAAUGUUUCUUUCAAGGAAUGAAAGACAUGAUGGCUGAACUUGCAGAAAUUGAAUGCGACAAUAUUUUGCAGAUGUGUAAUUUUGGAGUCGAGUCUACUCCUCUUUUUGAUUUCCUAAGAUGUUGAGGACCAUUCCUUUAUGUUCAUAUUUUGGAAAUUGAGAGAGAUCCCUUCUAGAGAUUCAACAACAUUGAUGUGAAAUGGAUCCUGAUGCUUGUACAGUACUGCGAGUAAAUGAAAGGCAUAUUAUUUACACAACACGAGCACUCAAGCUUAUGAGUUGAUGGAUGAUUUAUGAACUAUUUCAAACUAAAAGUUUGACAUCUCCUGUGAUAUUUCUUGGUUUUCUGAGUGUAGGAGACACUAACCCAAUCCCCCUUUAGUCUUGUAAUAUACUGCCCCUUUCAUUACCAAGCUACUAGUACGUUAAUUGAAUACACAAAACCUUUCAUAUACCCAAGUUGAGUGUGAUGCCCAUCAUCUCCUCUAUCUUAAGAGAGACAUGCCUUUCAAGAUAGAAGAUUGAACCAGAAUCAUCAUUUCAUCUUAAUUGUCUUAGUUGCUUGGUUUUCAUUUCAUUGUUAUUGUGGACCAACUAUCCCUGUGGCCAAAUAGGCUUGAAAAAGUCAGCCCAUGACAAUUUGGUUAUUUUGAUAAGUAUAAUCUGAUCAAGUUCAUGGGUGUGUUGGUUGUGUCACAUUCUGGUAUAGUCUUUGAAUUACAUAUCAUACAUUGCUUAGGUUUGUAGGUUGCUAGACUGAAUAUCUAUGAAUAUCUAUGAGAACCACUUUGCAUCUCACAUCCAACUUUCGUUAUGAUACAAUCAUGUGUUUUGCUAACAUGGGAGCCUACAUUUUAAAAAUAUGCCAAGCUAUUUUGUUCACAUCCAACUCGGUUAUGAUACAAUGGUGUGGUUGCUAACAUGGAAGCCUACAUUUUAAAAAUAUGCCAAGCUUUGUCUCUAGAGUGCUAGAAAAGUUUUGGUUUCUUAGAAUGCAGUUUUUCCAGCAGGAGAAGAAACUGAACUACUGGUUGGUUUGAACAAUGGAGGUAAUUGUGGUUGUUAUCUUUGCCUAUGUUGGAAAGUUCAUUAAGCAUGUCAUGUUUCUUUCGAUCUCGAAAAGUGAGAGCAUACCGUCCAUUGGUUCCAGAAUUUCUUUAUCCAUGCAUCAUUCUGCAUCAGUAAUUUGAAAAAGCAGUAAAUUGAAAAAACCAUCUUCAUUUUUUCUGCUCAUUGUUUUUGUGAUCAAUGCUUAAUUCUUAGACAACGGGGUUGAGUUGUUUCCAGUAGUAUUUAAUUAAGAUACCCUGCCCAUGCAAGGGAUACGUCUCAUAUCUGCAUUAGGAAGGUAACAUGGCCUGCAACGUUUGCAAGCAGUCUGUAUUCUAUAUUAAUGCUAUUAGAUUGUUUCUUGCCUUGUUAUGUUCAGUGCACGAAAGUUCCUUAGAUAUGUAAAUGACCAAUUGCUUGAGCAACUCAUAUAAAUAUCAUCUUAAUUGUCCUUUUUUAACUGUUCCAACAGAGGACAGAGUUGUAUGAAUUAUGGUGAAGGUUUUGGGCAAUUCUCAGUUUGACUUGCAACCGUUCCAACCAUGUAAAGUUGUCUAUGCACACAUCUUGGCUGUGGUAGGAAUGGUCCCAGAAGAUUGAGAUCUAACGAUGGACAAAAGGUCAUAAAGAAAACGGGGGUGGAAGAAACCAUACUAGGACCCGACCUGGUUUGGGUUUUGUUACUUGAGGCCACGCAACCUUCCCCCAUCCUCUCUUGCCUCCUCCGCCCCUUUAUUCCUCCUCUUCCUCUGCUCAUUGCUUUACCUCUACAAGGAAGCCCUUCCGCCGAGCAGCCCUACUCCAUGCGACAUCCAGAGUUGGCAGCUGUUGGGCAAUGCCUGGAAGAUCAGACUCCUCCUUGGUAUGGCAGCAGACGCUAGGUUGGGGGCGCUGGGUUAUCUUGACCUGGUUAGGGUAGAUUUGGGGAUUUCUAGUUUCAUGCCCAAGUCUCGCAGCUUCUGGCUACAACUCAAGUCAAGCUUGUUCUUUUAUAGGAUGAUGUUGGCACAUUAUUUCUUCUUGAUUUUGUAGGUCAUAGCAUGGAGCUGCCGCAGUUGUGUCAUAUCUAUCUCUCUCUCCCUCUCUUUCUUCUUUAUCACAUUUAAUCUUCUUUAUUGCAUUUAAUGUGCUUCUUUAUUAUAUUUAAUGUUGUUCUUUACA
Long non-coding RNA from Nymphaea colorata (pocket water lily), 4817 nucleotides. RefSeq lists it as uncharacterized. The record is from RefSeq and is a predicted model, not a curated record. Lineage: Eukaryota; Viridiplantae; Streptophyta; Magnoliopsida; Nymphaeales; Nymphaeaceae. The transcript has 5 exons.